ACCGGAUCCACUGAUCCACCAGAAAGAGCCAAGGAAAGCCAUGCCUCAAGCUUCCCUCUUUCUGCCUGAGGCCACGCCCAAGGGGGUGUGGCAACCAUUACAAGUUCACUGCAAGAUCGCUAUAGAAUACCAUUUUAUCUCAGGAUCCUGGGGACCUUGAAGGUCAAAACUCUGUUCAUAUCAGCGAUAAUGGAAGACAGACUUUGUACACCUCAUUAACUUUCAUCAAGGUAGGCCCCCUUUAAAUAGGCAUUUAAAUUGAC
Molecule: long non-coding RNA, 263 nt
Filed under: Cricetulus griseus (Chinese hamster)
Lineage: Eukaryota; Metazoa; Chordata; Mammalia; Rodentia; Cricetidae
Description: lncRNA (ENSCGRG00000024591.1)
Source: RNAcentral